CUUUAGAAAGGACACUGAGGUGCUGGAGCAUGGCCAAAGAAGGGUAACAAGGCUUGUGAAAGGUUAUCCUUCUCCUAAUAUUCAGCAUGAUUCUGAAAUCUGAUCUGCUGGUAAUAAACAUCUUGAUUCCAUUUCCAAGAUUACACCCUUAUUUAAAGGUCAUCUAAAGUAAAAACUCAUUAAAAGAAA
This is a long non-coding RNA of Passer domesticus (house sparrow), 189 nucleotides long. RefSeq lists it as uncharacterized. NCBI's taxonomy places the organism in Eukaryota, Metazoa, Chordata, Aves, Passeriformes, Passeridae. The record is from RefSeq and is a predicted model, not a curated record. The transcript has 2 exons.